This 379-nucleotide unclassified non-coding RNA is filed under the name Hevea brasiliensis (rubber tree). Lineage: Eukaryota; Viridiplantae; Streptophyta; Magnoliopsida; Malpighiales; Euphorbiaceae. The record is from RNAcentral.
AAAAAGCAGAAGGAAGAUUCUGAAUAAAUCAUUUUGACUUGCGGGCUACAUCUAUACUUAUUCGCUGUUGCUCUUCCUCUAAAAAUUUUCUUUUGCAUUGUAGCAUUCUGAUGAAAUUGAAAUCAAGGGAGAAGUGUAGGUGUAAGAGGUGUGAGAUUUCUUUACUUGCUUCGCUAUACAUUUGUUUGCUCAUGAAAUUUUAGUUACUCUCAGAGAAGUAUAAUGCUUCAAGUCACAAAUGCUAAAGAAUAGUGUUAGCAGGUUCAUUUUUGUGCAUGUGCCUUGUAGUUGAGAACUUUUUGACCCUGCUCCCAGUGUUAAUACGUCUGCUAUUUUCACCUGGGAUCUAUUACCAUCUUGUGUUCAGAUUGAAAAAUUU